This 240-nucleotide unclassified non-coding RNA is filed under the name plant metagenome. RNAcentral describes it as "partial contains small subunit ribosomal RNA, internal transcribed spacer 1, and 5.8S ribosomal RNA". The record is from RNAcentral.
UUUCCGUAGGUGAACCUGCGGAAGGAUCAUUACCGAGUGAGGGCCCUCUGGGUCCAACCUCCCACCCGUGUUUAUUAUACCUUGUUGCUUUGGCGGGCCCGCGUUCGUCGCCGCCGAGGGGUUGACCCCCCUGGGCCAGUGCCCGCCGAUAGCCCCCUCUUAAACUCUUGAUCAACCGUGAAUGUCUGAGUAAAAAAAAAAUCAAGCACAAAACUUUCAACAACGGAUCUCUUGGUUCUG